UUAGCUCAGUCGCUUUCUUGUAAAGCCAGGGCAGUUGGCUUUUAACCAUCAGUCGAUAGGUUAGAGUCCAUUACUGCACGCCA
Molecule: transfer RNA, 83 nt
Filed under: Shewanella sp. NIFS-20-20
Lineage: Bacteria; Pseudomonadati; Pseudomonadota; Gammaproteobacteria; Alteromonadales; Shewanellaceae
Description: tRNA-Lys
Source: RNAcentral